Molecule: long non-coding RNA, 572 nt
Filed under: Homo sapiens (human)
Lineage: Eukaryota; Metazoa; Chordata; Mammalia; Primates; Hominidae
Description: HSALNT0126874
Source: RNAcentral
UACGGCAAUCACAGCUCCUUCAGCUGUCAUUCAUCGUUAUUAUACUGGAGCCAUGUUGAUGUGGUGGUAAGGUACACAAGGGAAAUACAAAUCAUUCUAUAAUUCUAUUAUUAAAGCUCAGGCGUGAGCCACCGCAGGAGUUUCUCACUCUUAUGCUGGUCCACACCCAGCCUUUAGCCAUUCAUCAGUUACCAUGUAAGUAUUCCUGCCAGUGUAUGACUGCUCCAGGUAAACUGACCUCAUCUGUGAUUCUCCUUAUUCUCCUGUCUCUCUGGAUUUUGAGGUGAUGCUUUGCCCUGCAACCUCAACUCUCUCAUGGGUCCAAGAAAAAUUAUUAAAGUCAUUGAUUUUCAGUUUUUCAGCUUUCUUACUGAAAGGACGUGAGUGACAAAUUCUAAGCUCUUUGCAUGUCAGAAAUGAAACUGGAAUGUAUUUUUUUCAAAUAUAUAUGUAAUUAUAUAUAAUUAGUCUCUUCUAAUUGGAAUAAAUGUCAUAAUGCUAAUGCUUUUCGGUCACCAUUAUAGUAAUCCUAAACCUAAAAUACCUUGUCAAGAGUUUGAUGUGAUUUCUAA